GACGAACGCUGGCGGCGUGCCUAAUACAUGCAAGUUGAGCGCUGAAGGUUGGUACUUGUACCAACUGGAUGAGCAGCGAACGGGUGAGUAACGCGUGGGGAAUCUGCCUUUGAGCGGGGGACAACAUUUGGAAACGAAUGCUAAUACCGCAUAAAAACUUUAAACACAAGUUUUAAGUUUGAAAGAUGCAAUUGCAUCACUCAAAGAUGAUCCCGCGUUGUAUUAGCUAGUUGGUGAGGUAAAGGCUCACCAAGGCGAUGAUACAUAGCCGACCUGAGAGGGUGAUCGGCCACAUUGGGACUGAGACACGGCCCAAACUCCUACGGGAGGCAGCAGUAGGGAAUCUUCGGCAAGGGACGAAAGUCUGACCGAGCAACGCCGCGUGAGUGAAGAAGGUUGUCGGAUCGUAAAACUCGGUUGGUAGAGAAGAACGUUGGUGAGAGUGGAAAGCUCAUCAAGUGACGGUAACUACCCAGAAAGGGACGGCUAACUACGUG
Molecule: ribosomal RNA, 497 nt
Filed under: uncultured bacterium
Lineage: Bacteria
Description: partial 16S ribosomal RNA
Rfam family: Bacterial small subunit ribosomal RNA
Source: RNAcentral